Long non-coding RNA from Rosa rugosa (rugosa rose), 429 nucleotides. RefSeq lists it as uncharacterized. NCBI's taxonomy places the organism in Eukaryota, Viridiplantae, Streptophyta, Magnoliopsida, Rosales, Rosaceae. The record is from RefSeq and is a predicted model, not a curated record. The transcript is spliced from 3 exons.
UGCUGAAGGCUUUAUUCAAAGAAGAGGUGCGUGCAGAUUGUUUCAUGUGUAAGCGAUAGCUCGUUACAAUUUUCUGUAUUGGGCAAUAUAAUUGUUUUUUGUUCACUUUCUGCAGUUGCAUUUAGAGAAGGGAAUGAUGGACUGCCCACAUGCAAAGUGCACUCCUUGUAUCAGAUUGUAAUGGCAGAGCUUGAGAAGUUGGGUCAGAAGUAUCGUGUGGCUCUGAGGCUGUCCGUAUCAAAGGAGUUGCAGCUGUGGGAUGAAUAGUCUUGAUGUUUGUAUUUUGAUGGGUGCAACUGUAAAUUCUUAGUUAGUAUAUUUAUUGUAUGAUACAUUUUAAAAUAUAGUACAGGGUACAAUACAAGAAUGUAGAGGUGCCAAUUGGCACCUUAUUUUUUUAAUCCAACCUCAUAAAUUUGCCACUGAUAA